RNAcentral lists this transfer RNA (63 nucleotides) under Ictidomys tridecemlineatus (thirteen-lined ground squirrel). RNAcentral's name for it is "Spermophilus tridecemlineatus (thirteen-lined ground squirrel) tRNA". It matches the Rfam family "tRNA". Rfam says of the family: Transfer RNA (tRNA) molecules are approximately 80 nucleotides in length. Their secondary structure includes four short double-helical elements and three loops (D, anti-codon, and T loops). Lineage: Eukaryota; Metazoa; Chordata; Mammalia; Rodentia; Sciuridae. The record is from Rfam by way of RNAcentral.
GGAGUUGUAGCUUAGUAGUAGAGCGCUUGCCUUGUAAGGCACUGAGUUCGAUUCUCAGCACCA